Long non-coding RNA from Bactrocera tryoni, 1124 nucleotides. RefSeq lists it as uncharacterized. The record is from RefSeq and is a predicted model, not a curated record. The transcript is spliced from 3 exons. Lineage: Eukaryota; Metazoa; Arthropoda; Insecta; Diptera; Tephritidae.
UAUUUAUGUUUUACAUAUGUACUUGGAAAUCAAAACUGGUGAGGAUAAUUGACGUGAACACCAACUAGUUAAUUGUACUAGCAACCUGGAAAAUGGGUUAAACUGUUAAUUUUUAGCAAUUUAUAAGAUCCGUGAAAUUUAAGGUCAUAUGAAAUGAAAGUUGCUUAAAAUAGUCUUUAGAAAUUUGUAAGCAAUAAAUUUAACUUUUUUUAUUAUGUCUGUCCAAAUUGUAGCAAAAGGUUGGAGAACAACUAAUUUGACAGCUGACUGACACGAAUAUUAAAGCGCACAUAAGCUCUAAAUUUGAAGGCAACUACACACGCCACAAUUUGAGUACAAUAUAUUAUAUUUGCUCGAAGUACGUCGCCGACACUCCCAUGGGUGUCACCAAAAAAAUUACUUUAUAGGCCAAGAGCGAAAUAAUGAAAUUCCAACACAAUUCCUGGAAAGGCUCCAAAUUAAUCACGUUUACCGGACAAUGUGUUCACACAAAAUUCUUGUUGUUUUUGCUAUAGAUACAAGCAGCAAGAGAGGCAGGUCAGCUAGUAAGGGUCGCACCUAUUACGCAUGAAUAAUGAAAAGCAAACAGUAACAUGUUAACGAAGGCAAAGGAAAGACACGAAAGAUGAAAAAUUAUACCGGAGACGGUGACCUCUCACAAGGAGGAAAGUGUCGGAAUUUUUUAGACUGCUCCAGUAUCGUGUAUAACAGCACUGAAUAAUGCAAAUCAAUUUAGGGGAUUGUGACAACAUCGUAUGUCAAGGUCAACCAAGGUCAACCACGUGAAUAGUUCAUCCUUUCAAGCCAACUGAAGUGUGAAAUGUGUGAGACGGCUGCACUUUUGUUUUGUGUGAUCCAAUACACUUGAAGGAAUAAGUACAUUAGCUGUUUAAAUCUGGGCUAACAAAACAUACUGCCUCAUAUCGUAGACAUUUUUGGAUAAUAUGAUACAUAUUAGCUUUGUAUAAGUACAUAUGUAUGUAACCAAUAAAACAGGAAUCAGAAGACCUUGCAUAUAGGUUAAAGUGAAAUUGAUUGUGAUAUUUAUAUGAUACUAGUACAAACUUGAUAAGCGUGAAAUGACCCAACAGUUAAACUUAUUUAAAUAAAAUUGCAAAACUCAA